RNAcentral lists this ribosomal RNA (252 nucleotides) under uncultured bacterium. Its description in RNAcentral is "partial 16S ribosomal RNA". It matches the Rfam family "Bacterial small subunit ribosomal RNA", at positions 524 to 776 of the family's 1533-position model. The record is from RNAcentral.
UACGUAGGGUGCGAGCGUUGUCCGGAAUUAUUGGGCGUAAAGAGCUUGUAGGCGGUUUGUCGCGUCUGCUGUGAAAAUCCGGGGCUCAACCCGGACUUGCAGUGGGUACGGGCAGACUAGAGUGUGGUAGGGGAGACUGGAAUUCCUGGUGUAGCGGUGAAAUGCGCAGAUAUCAGGAGGAACACCGAUGGCGAAGGCAGGUCUCUGGGCCACUACUGACGCUGAGAAGCGAAAGCAUGGGGAGCGAACAGG